AAAUCCUACAGAAGGUACUAGCAGUCCACAGAAACGGAGCUUGAAAACCGUGGAUCCAGGUUUAGUAACUUACUGUCAAGGCUGAAGGUUCCGUAAUAUUUUUGAAUACACAAGUAUUGUCUCACAGAAUAUCCAUGUCCAAAACAACCUGGGAUUAUCAGAAAGCCCUAAAAAACGUUCUAGAAAGGUUUCAGAGAGAAUGGGAUUUACCUGCGGUUCCGUGUGUCACUCCAAUGACUAGUUUUAUUAAUAAAAGAAAUGGAGAAAGGCGUCUGGAUCUUGAAGAGGAACCAUCUCACUACAAGAAGCCAAACGUCAACAGACAUCAAGAAUUAAGACUUUGCCACAGGUACACGUUACAGAUAAAUGACCUGCAUUUGUUUGUUUCAAGAAACAAACUCAGGGAUGGCACCAUUGUGCAGAAACCUGAAAAGAACCCAACUCAAGACAAACAUACAGUUAAUAGAAACCAAGGCAAUAGAACCUUCCUAAAAACACCAAAGUUGCAUGCAAUUAUUAUUCAGUAUGGAGGUCCUGAAGCUUCCAGAAAAGAAGUACCAACUGUUAUCAAGAAAAGAUGUUCUCAGAAAAAGUCUCAAUUACAUUUCAAUGAUGGAAACAUUAUUAAGAACAAGCAGAAAACUUUCCAUAUUGAAAUGCCACAGAGUAGAUUGAGGGUUGGAAAUUUGGCACCGGGGAAGAGAAAGGCAGAGAUUUGCAAACAGAAAGAGAAAUCUUCGGGAAUAUAAUAGCUAACAUGUAAACUGAUACAAAAAUGUAUGAGUGGUAAUGUAAUUGGUUUGUGAAAGCCCGACUAUAGGUUCGUGUCGACCAGACGCAUUGAAACCCAAGUACAAAAGCAAUUUGACUGCAUUUGGCUAAAUGCGGCAAAACACAAAAAAAGAAAGCGAA
This is a long non-coding RNA of Spea bombifrons (plains spadefoot toad), 912 nucleotides long. RefSeq lists it as uncharacterized. Lineage: Eukaryota; Metazoa; Chordata; Amphibia; Anura; Pelobatidae. The record is from RefSeq and is a predicted model, not a curated record. The transcript has 3 exons.